GUAGCAAUACCGGGUGGCGACCGGCGCACGGGUGAGUAACGCGUAUGCAACUUGCCUAUCAGAGGGGGAUAACCCGGCGAAAGUCGGACUAAUACCGCAUGAAGCAGGGGCCCCGCAUGGGGAUAUUUGCUAAAGAUUCAUCGCUGAUAGAUAGGCAUGCGUUCCAUUAGGCAGUUGGCGGGGUAACGGCCCACCAAACCGACGAUGGAUAGGGGUUCUGAGAGGAAGGUCCCCCACAUUGGUACUGAGACACGGACCAAACUCCUACGGGAGGCAGCAGUGAGGAAUAUUGGUCAAUGGGCGUAAGCCUGAACCAGCCAAGUCGCGUGAGGGAUGAAGGUUCUAUGGAUCGUAAACCUCUUUUAUAAGGGAAUAAAGUGCGGGACGUGUCCUAUUUUGUAUGUACCUUAUGAAUAAGGAUCGGCUAACUCCGUGCCAGCAGCCGCGGUAAUACGGAGGAUCCGAGCGUUAUCCGGAUUUAUUGGGUUUAAAGGGUGCGUAGGCGGCCUUUUAAGUCAGCGGUGAAAGUCUGUGGCUCAACCAUAGAAUUGCCGUUGAAACUGGGAGGCUUGAGUAUGUUUGAGGCAGGCGGAAUGCGUGGUGUAGCGGUGAAAUGCUUAGAUAUCACGCAGAACCCCGAUUGCGAAGGCAGCCUGCCAGGCCAUGACUGACGCUGAUGCAC
RNAcentral lists this ribosomal RNA (682 nucleotides) under uncultured Bacteroidales bacterium. Its description in RNAcentral is "bacterial SSU rRNA". It matches the Rfam family "Bacterial small subunit ribosomal RNA", at positions 76 to 754 of the family's 1533-position model. Lineage: Bacteria; Pseudomonadati; Bacteroidota; Bacteroidia; Bacteroidales. The record is from RNAcentral.